This 68-nucleotide small RNA is filed under the name Flavobacterium sp. 1. RNAcentral's name for it is "Flavo-1 RNA". Lineage: Bacteria; Pseudomonadati; Bacteroidota; Flavobacteriia; Flavobacteriales; Flavobacteriaceae. The record is from RNAcentral.
AACUAGCCCUGAUGGAGCCGAUAUCCUCGUAACGGAGUGGAGAGAUAAAGGCGACAGCAGGAAUCCAU